Aedes aegypti (yellow fever mosquito) is the source of this 72-nucleotide non-coding RNA. The record is from Rfam. NCBI's taxonomy places the organism in Eukaryota, Metazoa, Arthropoda, Insecta, Diptera, Culicidae.
GGCUCCGUAGCAUGUAGGUUAAAGCGCCCAUCUAGCGAAUGGGAGUCGUGGAUUCGAUCCCCACUGGAGCAC